UGAGGAAUAUUGGUCAAUGGGCGCAAGCCUGAACCAGCCAUGCCGCGUGCAGGAUGAAGCAUCUAUGGUGUGUAAACUGCUUUUGUACGGGAAGAAACCACCCCUCGUGAGGGGUAUUGACGGUACCGUAAGAAUAAGGAUCGGCUAACUCCGUGCCAGCAGCCGCGGUAAUACGGAGGAUCCAAGCGUUAUCCGGAAUCAUUGGGUUUAAAGGGUCCGUAGGCGGUUUAAUAAGUCAGUGGUGAAAGCCCAUCGCUCAACGAUGGAACGGCCAUUGAUACUGAUAGACUUGAAUUACAAGGAAGUAACUAGAAUAUGUUGUGUAGCGGUGAAAUGCUUAGAUAUUACAUGGAAUACCAAUUGCGAAGGCAGGUUACUACUUGUGAUUGACGUUGAUGGACGAAAGCGUGGGGAGCGAACA
This 421-nucleotide ribosomal RNA is filed under the name uncultured bacterium. RNAcentral describes it as "bacterial SSU rRNA". It matches the Rfam family "Bacterial small subunit ribosomal RNA", at positions 355 to 774 of the family's 1533-position model. The record is from RNAcentral.